RNAcentral lists this transfer RNA (69 nucleotides) under Marmota marmota marmota (Alpine marmot). It matches the Rfam family "tRNA". From Rfam's summary of the family: Transfer RNA (tRNA) molecules are approximately 80 nucleotides in length. Their secondary structure includes four short double-helical elements and three loops (D, anti-codon, and T loops). Lineage: Eukaryota; Metazoa; Chordata; Mammalia; Rodentia; Sciuridae. RNAcentral also lists the same sequence under 1 other name. The record is from Rfam by way of RNAcentral.
GGGGUUGUAGCUCAGUGGUAGAGCACUCACCUGGCAUGUGUGAGGCAAUGGGUUUGAUCCUCAGCACCA